This 187-nucleotide non-coding RNA is filed under the name Geobacter sp. RNAcentral's name for it is "6S RNA". It matches the Rfam family "6S / SsrS RNA". From Rfam's summary of the family: E. coli 6S RNA was the first non coding RNA to be sequenced, but its function was unknown until recently. It consists of 184 nucleotides that fold into an extended hairpin structure with a large single-stranded internal bulge. Lineage: Bacteria; Pseudomonadati; Thermodesulfobacteriota; Desulfuromonadia; Geobacterales; Geobacteraceae. The record is from RNAcentral.
GCUGCUCUGGAAUACUCGCAGCGCAUCCGUUGAGUCCCUGACUACCUUUCCUUUCAACGUGUCCCCGUUCUCAGUCGUGGUGAGCAAGCCCUCAUACAGCAGAGGGAAGCCUAAAGCGUCUCAUCGGGGUAUAGUGCGGCAAAGGUCAGUAACUCAAAACUUCUCGCCACGGUAUUCCGGAGCAAUU